Oncorhynchus keta (chum salmon) is the source of this 423-nucleotide long non-coding RNA. RefSeq lists it as uncharacterized. The transcript has 4 exons. Lineage: Eukaryota; Metazoa; Chordata; Actinopteri; Salmoniformes; Salmonidae. The record is from RefSeq and is a predicted model, not a curated record.
GGGUUAAUGUUCAUAUCACUAAGGUGUUAAUCCCCUCCUAAACAGCUGGGGUUAAUGUUCAUAUCACUAAGGUGUUAAUCCCCUCCUAAACAGCUGGGGUUAAUGUUCAUAUCACUAAGGUGUGAUGCCCCUCCUAAACAGCUGGGGUUAAUGUUCCUAUCACUAAGGUGUGAUGCCUCUCCUAAACAGCUGGGGUUAAUGUUCAUAUCACUAAGGUGUUAAUCCCCUCCUAAACAGCUGGGGUUAAUGUUCAUAUCACUAAGGUGUGAUGCCUCUCCUAAACAGCUGGGGUUAAUGUUCAUAUCACUAAGGUGUGAUGCCUCUCCUAAACAGCUGGGGUUAAUGUUCCUAUCACUAAGGUGUGAUGCCCCUCCUAAACAGCUGGGGUUAAUGUUCAUAUCACUAAGGUGUGAUGCCCCUCCU